GGAAUAGUGGUGUAGUGGUAACAUAAUCGCCUUCCAAUCUGUUGAUUGCGAGCGAUUGCUGUGGGUUCGAUUCCCGCCUAUUUCA
This 85-nucleotide transfer RNA is filed under the name Aureobasidium pullulans. RNAcentral describes it as "tRNA-Gly". It matches the Rfam family "tRNA". Rfam says of the family: Transfer RNA (tRNA) molecules are approximately 80 nucleotides in length. Their secondary structure includes four short double-helical elements and three loops (D, anti-codon, and T loops). Lineage: Eukaryota; Fungi; Ascomycota; Dothideomycetes; Dothideales; Saccotheciaceae. RNAcentral also lists the same sequence under 1 other name. The record is from RNAcentral.